Molecule: ribosomal RNA, 524 nt
Filed under: uncultured Comamonadaceae bacterium
Lineage: Bacteria; Pseudomonadati; Pseudomonadota; Betaproteobacteria; Burkholderiales; Comamonadaceae
Description: bacterial SSU rRNA
Rfam family: Bacterial small subunit ribosomal RNA
Source: RNAcentral
AGCUCACGUAAGAGUUUGAUCCUGGCUCAGAUUGAACGCUGGCGGCAUGCCUUACACAUGCAAGUCGAACGGUAACAGGUUAAGCUGACGGGUGGCGAACGGGUGAGUAAUAUAUCGGAACGUGCCCAGUAGUGGGGGAUAGCCCGGCGAAAGCCGGAUUAAUACCGCAUACGACCUACGGGUGAAAGCGGGGGAUCGCAAGACCUCGCGCUAUUGGAGCGGCCGAUAUCAGAUUAGCUAGUUGGUGGGGUAAAAGCUCACCAAGGCGACGAUCUGUAGCUGGUCUGAGAGGACGACCAGCCACACUGGGACUGAGACACGGCCCAGACUCCUACGGGAGGCAGCAGUGGGGAAUUUUGGACAAUGGACGAAAGUCUGAUCCAGCCAUGCCGCGUGCGGGAAGAAGGCCUUCGGGUUGUAAACCGCUUUUGUCAGGGAAGAAAAGCUCCGAACUAAUAUUUUGGGGUGAUGACGGUACCUGAAGAAUAAGCACCGGCUAACUACGUGCCAGCAGCCGCGGUAAU